UCUUAUUGCCUGUAGGGUCUUGACUGAGAAGUCCACUGACAGCCUGAUGGGCUUCCCUUUAUAUGUCACUUGUGGCCUUUCUCUUGCUGCUUUUAGGAUUCUCUCUUUGUCUUUAAUUUUAGACAUUUUGAUUAUAAUAUAUCUUGGUGUGGGUCUCUUUGGGCUUCUCUUGUUUGGAGCUCUCUGUGCUUCCUGAACUUGGAUGUCUGUUUCCUUCCUCAGGUGAGGAAAACUUUCCUCUAUCAUUUUGACAAAUAAAUUUUCUGCCCCUUUGUCUCUCUCUUCUCCUUCUAGGACCCCUAUGCUCCGAAUGUUAGCAUGCUAGAUAUUGUCCCAGAGUUCCCUAACACUGUUCUCGUUCUGUCUAAUUAUUUUUUCUCUUUUCUGUUCUGCUUGGAUGAUUUCCUCUAAUCUUUUGUCUAGCUCGCUGAUCCGUUCUUCUGCUUCCUCUUCUCUGCUGUUGAGUCCCUCUAGUGAAUUUCUCAUUUCAAGUAUUGUAUUCUUCAUUUCUGAUUGGUUCUUUUUUAUAUCUUCCAGUUCUUUGCUGAUGUGCUCACUGUGUUCAUCCAUUCUUCUCCACAUAUCUGUGAGCAUCCUCAUUAUAUUUUGUUUGAAUUCUUUGUCAAAGAGGUCACUAGUUUCUGUUUCACUUAGUUCUUUUUCUGGUGUUUUGUAGUCUUCCCUUGCUUGGAAAGUAUUCCUUUGCCUCCUCAUUAUGCCUCUUUCUCUGUGCUAUUUUCUUUGUACUAGGUGAGUCAGCUAUGUCUCCUGAUCUUGGAGAAGUGGCCUUAUGUAUGAGAUGCCUUAUGAGGUCCAGCAGUGUGCUUCCCUCUCGUCCCCAGACCAUAAGAACCAGGAGUGACCCCUUUGUGGGCCACUUGUGUUCCUCUGCUGUGACAGGGUUGCUUCCACUGCAGGUACCCAGGGAGUCUGAUCUUUCCUUCCCUGGCCAGCUAUUUGUAAAUCCGGUUUGGUGGGGCCUCAGCACUGUUGGCUACAAAGCCUAUUAGCACACUCUUAUUGCAAUUGUCCUCUUAAUUGGGUUGGUACCCAGUGUAGCUGGUUGCUAGGCUCAGGGGCUACAGUUGUGAUAGGCCUGAGGCCAACAGGCUGUUGUCAGUUCUCUUAGGAGUGCAGCUGAGUGGGGCUAGCCCUUGGCAUGGAGGCACUCAGUUGUUUCAGGCUUUGGAAGGUGGGGCUGAUCCUUUUUAUGGCUAUUUGUGAAGCACAAGUCUUCUGCCACUGAUAAGCCUCACACCCCCAC
RNAcentral lists this long non-coding RNA (1264 nucleotides) under Equus caballus (horse). Its description in RNAcentral is "lncRNA (ENSECAG00000046840.1)". Lineage: Eukaryota; Metazoa; Chordata; Mammalia; Perissodactyla; Equidae. The record is from RNAcentral.